Molecule: long non-coding RNA, 236 nt
Filed under: Salvia miltiorrhiza (redroot sage)
Lineage: Eukaryota; Viridiplantae; Streptophyta; Magnoliopsida; Lamiales; Lamiaceae
Description: long non-coding RNA (SMIL_LNC003937)
Source: RNAcentral
ACAAAUUGUGCCUUAGACUGCUUUAGCCUCCUACUAUUAAUGUGUAUAAUUGGUACCUUUAUAAGGGAACACAAAAGGCCAAAAAAAAAAAAACAAAUGCCCUGAUUAAAUGCAUAAAAACAUUUUGCACAAGCCAUAGUAACAAAAUUAAGGGGGUAUGACAAGUAAGACUUGUUUUAAAAGUCUUUCAUAUUCUCUAACAAAUGACCACUUCAAACUUUAGCAUUAACAAAGAA